Molecule: long non-coding RNA, 2505 nt
Organism: Macaca mulatta (Rhesus monkey)
Lineage: Eukaryota; Metazoa; Chordata; Mammalia; Primates; Cercopithecidae
Source: Ensembl
AGCCUCUUUCCUUGAUCAACAGAGUUUGAUUAAAACACUUAUAUACAGAAUGGCCAUGGCAACAGAAAUAUAUAUGCAUUCCAAAGCCUCAACUUCAUGGCCAAUUUGGCUAUUAAAUCUGCUGAGUGCUCAAGCUACUAUUAAUACUAUCACAAGCCAGCAAUGUACAUGAUUCCUGGGGAGGACCAGCAAACUACUUCUCAGGAUGAUUGCAAUGGACAUUUUUCAUCAAGAAGGUAAUAAUUUAUCUUCAUCAUAACCAGGCAUAUAUUUAUAAAAUUCAUUUUCUUUCCCUGUCUACAGUGAGUUUGCCAGUACCACCAUCGGUGGACUAACACAGUGCCUCAUCACAGUCAUGGUAUUCUAUUCAACAUCAUGCCAGACCAACGGUCUCAAUUUAAACUACUCCAGAAAGAAGGCAUCUUUGAGGAAUUUGGGCUAAUCUAUAUGCAAGCAGCAUGUUCUUCUGUGAUGCAUUCGAGGUCACAGUCUCUCUACCCUUGCCCGCUGUACAUAGACAGAGCAAUAAAACAGGGUUGUUAGGUCUAUGAUUUGAGAAGAAAUCAGUAAAAUGCACAACUUUUGAAAUCUCAUGGUGCCAGCCCUGCUUAACAACCAGAUCUAGUACUACAUAAUACCAAGAGAUUGAAUGGGCGACAUUCAUUUUCUACUUGUUACAUAAAUGCUUCUGGUGUUCGAUAUAAUGAAGAAGGAAAGCAGCAACAACAGCAGCCUGCAAAAGUUAAAGCGGGGCCAGAUUAAGCCAUUGACAGCUUCUGAGAAAAUAUGUCGGUGAUUUCUGACUUUGGACAUGAGGAUAAUCUUGUAUAGGCUGCCUACUCUGUUUCUACAUUUUAAAACUUGAGAUUCUCAGAGGAUCAUCAGGAGUUUCAUGGCACUAAGAUUCUAUUUUGAGCAAUUAACACAAAAACUCUGAGAAAUGUUUCGAGAAUAAAAGACAGUUCAACAAGUACAAAGUGUAAUGGAGCCCUGGAGAAUAUGAUUGCCUGGUACAGGAGAGCUCUGGGACCACAGAUGGAGAAGAUGUAAGUACAUGAAAUAAAUAAGGGGGCCACACGAUUUAUAUUAUGAGCAGGAUAACUUGGGUUCCUCAUGUUUCUUAAGUCUGUGCCUGUUAAAUUCUUAUUUUCCAGAAGUCAGUUUAUGAAGACAUGAAUUUUAGGAACAUUGGCAGAAUCCCAACACUUUUUUUCAGCUUCAUAGCUCUAUCCCGACUGUAUUUACAGAUAUAACCUGUGCAUUCUAAUGAGGAUAAAUACCUUUUAAAUAAAUAUUUUAAACACACAAAAACACAUUUCAAAACAAAAUGUUCAUAACAAAAUUAUAUCUCCACACACAGUGACUGUGGAGUAGAAUUUUAAUCACCAACAAAAAGAAUUCCAGCUCCUAUAGUCCUAAAUCUAUAUUUCCUUCUCCAACAAGCCCUCCACAUGAUGAACUUUUCCUAUAUAUUUUAAUUUAAUGAUAGACUAGUAGUAUCUUAAUUUAUGAAAUGAUCAUAUGUGACAUAAUUCAAAUCAUUGGAAUGACAAAAUAUAUUGUUUUUCAUUUAAAAGGCAGUAGAUUUUCAUCAGAAGCAGAGAGCAAAUAGGAGGCAUUUGUUCUGUUCAAUGCAGCUUCUAUAGAAAUUGUGAUGCCUGAGCUUUGUGUGACUGGCUAAGAAACACUCCACGAUUGAGACAUCCACCUCACUAUCUGCCCAUUUCUGUUCCCAUUGAUUUCCCAAAAUGUGAACAAUAGCCUCACAAUUUGUGACCCUCCAAUUACAGCCAGAUUCCAGACUUAUGUUUGUAGGGCUCAUGAUAAGAGUGCAAAUAUAAUUCCACAUCCCGUAUUUCAAAUGUUGAAAAGAUCUAAUCUUCUAAACUUGACAAAUAGAUUUUCAUAACACCUAGAAAAAAAAAAGGCCAGGUUAAAAUGUAGUAUUUCAGACUGCUGAGUGUUUUCUCACCAGAAUGUGAUAACACAGUGGGAGUCAGUUCCCUGGCCCAUGCUCUACCCUUCUUCUCUUCUAGCUCCUCACUUUAUCUUGACCACAAUAUACAUACUCAUUCUCAUGUGGAUGGGCAUGGCUACCUUGUUUCUUCAGUCCAAGCUCUGUCAAUACUCAUGAAAGUAGCUACUCCUUUUCAGGCCUCAUGCGUAGUGAUUUGAACAUUGGAAGCUUUGGGGUUGUUUGGGUGAAGAAUUUUGGGAUCUUAAUUUCCUAGGUCAUAGUCUAGAAAGGCAUGGCAGGGAAUCCAGGUUGACAUGUCCUUUAGCCCUGUGACUUUUGCUCCAGGAGAAAUAGAAGUUCCAGAAAUGGACCACAGCAGGUCCCUUAGACACUGCCAGGUUUAAGAAUGAUACAGCUUAGGCCUAUGGUUUUAGAGGGUGUUUCUAAACAAGAAAUAUAUUUCUUAGGCUUACUGGCAGUAGUAAAGUAACAGAACUGAGGUUAUACUAACUUAAAAAUUAUAAAUUCGAAAUUUCUGUUAAUUAUAG